UAGUAACUGCGAGUGAAGCGGGAAAAGCUCAAAUUUAAAAUCUGGCGGUCUUUGGCCGUCCGAGUUGUAGUCUGGAGAAGUGCUUUCCGCGCUGGACCGUGUACAAGUCUCUUGGAACAGAGCGUCAUAGAGGGUGAGAAUCCCGUCUUUGACACGGACUACCAGUGCUUUGUGAUGCGCUCUCAAAGAGUCGAGUUGUUUGGGAAUGCAGCUCAAAAUGGGUGGUAAAUUCCAUCUAAAGCUAAAUAUUGGCGAGAGACCGAUAGCGAACAAGUACCGUGAGGGAAAGAUGAAAAGCACUUUGGAAAGAGAGUUAAACAGUACGUGAAAUUGCUGAAAGGGAAACGCUUGAAGUCAGUCGCGUUGGCCAGGACUCAGCCUUGCUUUUCGCUUGGUGCAUUUUCUGGUUGACGGGCCAGCAUCGAUUUUGACCACUGGAAAAAGGCUAGGGGAAUGUGGCACCUUCGGGUGUGUUAUAGCCCUUAGUCACAUACAGUGGUUGGGAUCGAGGACCGCAGCACGCCUUUAUGGCCGGGGUUCGCCCACGUUCGUGCUCAGGAUGCUGGCGUAAUGGCUUUAAACGACCCGUCUUGAAACACGGACCAAGGAGUCUAACAUGCCUGCGAGUGUUUGGGUGGAAAACCCGAGCGCGUAAUGAAAGUGAAAGUUGAGAUCCCUGUCGUGGGGGAGCAUCGACGCCCGGACCUGAACUUCGGUGAUGGAUCUGCGGUAGAGCAUGUAUGUUGGGACCCGAAAGAUGGUGAACUAUGCCUGAAUAGGGUGAAGCCAGAGGAAACUCUGGUGGAGGCUCGUAGCGAUUCUGACGUGCAAAUCGAUCGUCAAAUUUGGGUAUAGGGGCGAAAGACUAAUCGAACCAUCUAGUAGCU
RNAcentral lists this ribosomal RNA (887 nucleotides) under fungal sp. Its description in RNAcentral is "partial large subunit ribosomal RNA". It matches the Rfam family "Eukaryotic large subunit ribosomal RNA", at positions 81 to 952 of the family's 3401-position model. The record is from RNAcentral. Lineage: Eukaryota; Fungi.